AUUGAACGCUGGCGGCAGGCCUAACACAUGCAAGUCGAACGGUAACAGAAAGCAGCUUGCUGCUUUGCUGACGAGUGGCGGACGGGUGAGUAAUGUCUGGGAAACUGCCUGAUGGAGGGGGAUAACUACUGGAAACGGUAGCUAAUACCGCAUAACGUCGCAAGACCAAAGAGGGGGACCUUCGGGCCUCUUGCCAGCGGAUGUGCCCAGAUGGGAUUAGCUAGUAGGUGGGGUAACGGCUCACCUAGGCGACGAUCCCUAGCUGGUCUGAGAGGAUGACCAGCCACACUGGAACUGAGACACGGUCCAGACUCCUACGGGAGGCAGCAGUGGGGAAUAUUGCACAAUGGGCGCAAGCCUGAUGCAGCCAUGCCGCGUGUAUGAAGAAGGCCUUCGGGUUGUAAAGUACUUUCAGCGGGGAGGAAGGGAGUAAAGUUAAUACCUUUGCUCAUUGACGUUACCCGCAGAAGAAGCACCGGCUAACUCCGUG
This 490-nucleotide ribosomal RNA is filed under the name uncultured bacterium. RNAcentral's name for it is "partial 16S ribosomal RNA". It matches the Rfam family "Bacterial small subunit ribosomal RNA", at positions 30 to 507 of the family's 1533-position model. The record is from RNAcentral.